Molecule: ribosomal RNA, 468 nt
Filed under: uncultured bacterium
Lineage: Bacteria
Description: partial 16S ribosomal RNA
Rfam family: Bacterial small subunit ribosomal RNA
Source: RNAcentral
GACGAACGCUGGCGGCGUGCUUAACACAUGCAAGUCGAACGGAAAGGCCCUGCUUUUGUGGGGUGCUCGAGUGGCGAACGGGUGAGUAACACGUGAGUAACCUGCCCUUGACUUUGGGAUAACUUCAGGAAACUGGGGCUAAUACCGGAUAGGAGCUCCUGCUGCAUGGUGGGGGUUGGAAAGUUUCGGCGGUUGGGGAUGGACUCGCGGCUUAUCAGCUUGUUGGUGGGGUAGUGGCUUACCAAGGCUUUGACGGGUAGCCGGCCUGAGAGGGUUACCGGCGACAUUGGUACUGAGGUACUGCCCAGACUCCUUCUGGAGGCAGCAGUGGUGAAUAUUGCACAAUUGGCGGAGGCCUGAGUCAGCAGCUCCGCGUGCGGGAUGACGGCCUUCGGGUUGUAAACCGCUUUCGCCUGUGACGAAGCGUGAGUGACGGUAAUGGGUAAAGAAGCACCGGCUAACUACGUG